Molecule: ribosomal RNA, 253 nt
Filed under: uncultured bacterium
Lineage: Bacteria
Description: partial 16S ribosomal RNA
Rfam family: Bacterial small subunit ribosomal RNA
Source: RNAcentral
UACGUAGGGUGCAAGCGUUGUCCGGAAUUAUUGGGCGUAAAGAGCUCGUAGGCGGUUUGUCGCGUCGGCUGUGAAAACCCGAGGCUCAACCUCGGGCCUGCAGUCGAUACGGGCAAACUAGAGUGUGGUAGGGGAGACUGGAAUUCCUGGUGUAGCGGUGAAAUGCGCAGAUAUCGAGAGGAACACCUGCGGCGAAGGCGGGUUGCUGGGCCGACACUGACGCUGAUGCGCGAAAGCCAGGGGAGCGAACGGG